Molecule: non-coding RNA, 84 nt
Organism: Zophobas morio
Lineage: Eukaryota; Metazoa; Arthropoda; Insecta; Coleoptera; Tenebrionidae
Source: the annotation of a RefSeq genome assembly
GCUGUGGUGGCCGAGCGGUCUAAGGCGCGUGACUCAAGUUCACGUGGGAGUUUUCCCUCGUGAGUUCGAAUCUCACCCACAGCA